RNAcentral lists this ribosomal RNA (492 nucleotides) under uncultured bacterium. Its description in RNAcentral is "partial 16S ribosomal RNA". It matches the Rfam family "Bacterial small subunit ribosomal RNA", at positions 29 to 507 of the family's 1533-position model. The record is from RNAcentral.
AGUGAACGCUGGCGGUAGGCCUAACACAUGCAAGUCGAACGGCAGCACAGUAAGAGCUUGCUCUUACGGGUGGCGAGUGGCGGACGGGUGAGGAAUACAUCGGAUUCUACUUUUUCGUGGGGGAUAACGUAGGGAAACUUACGCUAAUACCGCAUACGACCUACGGGUGAAAGCAGGGGAUCUUCGGACCUUGCGCGAUUGAAUGAGCCGAUGUCGGAUUAGCUAGUUGGCGGGGUAAAGGCCCACCAAGGCGACGAUCCGUAGCUGGUCUGAGAGGAUGAUCAGCCACACUGGAACUGAGACACGGUCCAGACUCCUACGGGAGGCAGCAGUGGGGAAUAUUGGGCAAUGGGCGCAAGCCUGAUCCAGCCAUACCGCGUGGGUGAAGAAGGCCUUCGGGUUGUAAAGCCCUUUUGUUGGGAAAGAAAAGCAGCAGGUUAAUACCCCGCUGUUCUGACGGUACCCAAAGAAUAAGCACCGGCUAACUUCGUG